Molecule: ribosomal RNA, 587 nt
Filed under: uncultured bacterium
Lineage: Bacteria
Description: partial 16S ribosomal RNA
Rfam family: Bacterial small subunit ribosomal RNA
Source: RNAcentral
UGGGGAAUUUUGGACAAUGGGCGAAAGCCUGAUCCAGCAAUGCCGCGUGUGUGAAGAAGGCCUUCGGGUUGUAAAGCACUUUUGUCCGGAAAGAAAUCCUUGGCUCUAAUACAGUCGGGGGAUGACGGUACCGGAAGAAUAAGCACCGGCUAACUACGUGCCAGCAGCCGCGGUAAUACGUAGGGUGCAAGCGUUAAUCGGAAUUACUGGGCGUAAAGCGUGCGCAGGCGGUUUGCUAAGACCGAUGUGAAAUCCCCGGGCUCAACCUGGGAACUGCAUUGGUGACUGGCAGGCUAGAGUAUGGCAGAGGGGGGUAGAAUUCCACGUGUAGCAGUGAAAUGCGUAGAGAUGUGGAGGAAUACCGAUGGCGAAGGCAGCCCCCUGGGCCAAAUACUGACGCUCAUGCACGAAAAGCGUGGGGAGCAAACAGGAUUAGAUACCCUGGUAGUCCACGCCCUAAACGAUGUCAACUAGUUGUUGGGGAUUCAUUUCCUUAGUAACGUAGCUAACGCGUGAAGUUGACCGCCCGGGGAGUACGGUCGCAAGAUUAAAACUCAAAUGAAUUGACGGGGUCAUAGCUGUUUCCU